Molecule: ribosomal RNA, 465 nt
Filed under: uncultured bacterium
Lineage: Bacteria
Description: bacterial SSU rRNA
Rfam family: Bacterial small subunit ribosomal RNA
Source: RNAcentral
CCUACGGGAGGCACCAGUGGGGAAUAUUGCACAAUGGGCGCAGGCCCGAUGCAGCCAUGCCGCGUGUGUGAAGAAGGCCUUCGGGUUGUAAAGCACUUUCAGUGGGGAGGAAGGCGGUGAGGUUAAUAACCUCAUCGAUUGACGUUACCCGCAGAAGAAGCACCGGCUAACUCCGUGCCAGCAGCCGCGGUAAUACGGAGGGUGCAAGCGUUAAUCGGAAUUACUGGGCGUAAAGCGCACGCAGGCGGUCUGUCAAGUCGGGUGUGAAAUCCCCGGGCUCAACCUGGGAACUGCAUUCGAAACUGGCAGGCUAGAGUCUUGUAGAGGGGGGUAGAAUUCCAGGUGUAGCGGUGAAAUGCGUAGAGAUCUGGAGGAAUACCGGUGGCGAAGGCGGCCCCCUGGACAAAGACUGACGCUCAGGUGCGAAAGCGUGGGGAGCAAACAGGAUUAGAUACCCCGGUAGUC